ACCAGAAGCUAGAAGAUGCAAGGAAAGAGUCUUCCCUACAGCUUUCAGAGGGAGCGCGGCCCUGGUAACACCUUGACUUCAGACUUCUAGCCUUCAGAACUGUGAGACAGAUGCCACUGUCCAUAGAUGGAGGCAAUCUAAUUAUGGUCCUCAGCAGCCCUGGGCUGGGGGAUCACGGCAUCCUGCAGAUGAGGAAACUGAGCAGGACUCGUGACUCCAGCCAGGAAGGGGACUUUUGUGUUAGCAGAUCUGCUGCUCACACUAUGAAUCCUCUGAAUCCUGGGCACUAUUGGAACUCCUAAUACAGUGAAUGUCUGAAGAAAUUUACACGGCAACAGUGCAGAGACAGCCAGCUGCCAGAACCCAGCUGGUUAGAAUCCUUCCCAGAGGUCGGUGCUCCGUGGAGAACAGAGGCCCUGCCCAGAGAUCAUCAUGGAUCUGUUCACAAUCUGCUGCUGCAGAAAUAGCAGCCAUAUCAAUGUACUCAUGUCCCUGGGGCUGGACAGACUGAUGGGCCCAUCUGCAGGGCAGGAACAGCCGGAAGAGAAAAUUGAGCAAGAAACUAAUGAAGAGCUGGAGGAGAACCAGGAAACAGAGGAUUUGGAAAUAACGUGAAUUUCAAAAGAACAAGUCCAGUUACUCAAUAGGGACGGAAAACCUAUUGGAAACUUUGCGAAGAACGGUCCAACUUCCCAAGCAAAGAGUGUGUCC
This 711-nucleotide long non-coding RNA is filed under the name Equus caballus (horse). RNAcentral's name for it is "lncRNA (ENSECAG00000031578.2)". Lineage: Eukaryota; Metazoa; Chordata; Mammalia; Perissodactyla; Equidae. The record is from RNAcentral.